UUUCACUUACUCUGCAUAAAAGCUUAGUCAAGAUUAAGAGCACUUGAAGAGCAUAGGUGAUUCGUCAGGGUGUGAGAACUAUGAUUCAGUUCCCAUAAUCCGCAUGUGUCAUGGGAGGGAGCUGGUCGGAGGUGACUGAAUCAUGAGGACAGUUACCCACAUGCUGCUUUUCUCAUGAUGGCAAGAAGCUGUAGGGGGGGUGAAGAGGCUGCAAGUCUUCAAAAAUUCACAAAUUGGAUUAUCAAUUCUUAAGGAGUCGGCCAUUGUAGCAAACCUGCCUUGAGGCAUAGAGUUGAAAUGCCACUUAAAGCAAGAGUGAAGAAAAGCAUUCCUUUUGAGAGGUAGUAUUGCAUGGGGUCAAGAGCAUGAACUGUAUUAGCACACCGCCUGGGUUUGAAUUUCAGCUCCAGUGUGAACUAACUCUCUGGACUUAGGCAAGUUAUUUAAGCUCUCUAAUUCUUAGUUUCCUCAUCUGUAUAAUAUUGAUAAUAAAGUUAGCUUUGUUCUAGUGAAGAGAUGUAAAAUACUUAGAAGAGAGCCCGGUAUAUGCUAAGCACUAUGCAAUUAUUUGCUAUUAUUGGAAAAUAUUUAUUUGGUGCAUAUUAUAUGAUAAGAACUGUGCUGAAAAUUGGGGAUAAAAUGGGGAGGGAUUCAAAUUUCCUGUCCUAAAGACUCCUAUUCUAAUUAGGGCACUUAAAAUACAAGGUGGUAAAUGCUAAGAUAGAGGAGGAUAUAACAUGCCACAGAAGCUCAGGGGAGGAAUACUGAAAGCAAACAGAGAAGAUUUCUUACAAGAAGGGACAGCCUGAGACUCGCCAUAAUGCUCAAGAAGCGCUUGACCAACCUCUCUUCAUUCUGCCCCGACAGUCUCUAGUUACGCACUGUUCCACUCUGCUUCUAUGACACCAACUUUUUUUUUUUUUUUUAGAUUUCACAUGAGUGCGAUUAUUAUUUGUCCUGUGUCUGGCUUAUUUUACUUAACAUGAUGUGAUCCGAGUUUAUUCACGUUGUCACAGGGGAUAAGAUUUCAUUGUACCCCAUAUGUACGAUGUGUCAAUUAAAACAAAAUUUUUAAAGAAACUUCAGU
Molecule: long non-coding RNA, 1087 nt
Organism: Pan troglodytes (chimpanzee)
Lineage: Eukaryota; Metazoa; Chordata; Mammalia; Primates; Hominidae
Exons: 3
Source: RefSeq, a predicted model, not a curated record